GCACCACGUAAGGUAAAGAUGUGAUGUAGUUAUGUUCCUAAUGAUCAGAACUUCCCAAACUGUAAUUUCCAGAAGUUUUGUGACCGAAUUAUUAGGCUGCCAGUCCAUGCACAAUGUGAAAAAGGAAGGAAGAAGAGACACCUAAUGGAAUGGAUGCAGCAUACAAAUUUCACAGUAUUUUAGAGCUGGAAGGAAUCUUGGAGUCUUCUAGUCCAACCUCCUGCUUAGCGCAACCUGAGUGACUUGACUGCAUAUGGGUAAACUGUAAUUCAGUCACUACUGCAUAAACAGGCAAGUGAAGCACCCCUGGCAAAAAAAACAACACAGAGGGCACACUUCCAAAAGAAAUCCUGACCAGUUCAGCAGAGGUGGAGAAGAACAAGAGCAGCAAUCUGAGCCAGGUGUGGGUGCAAGAAUGGCCCUAGACAAGCCUGAGAGAGGCUAAAGAGACCAGCUCCACCCUGCAAUCCUUUUUCCUUUCAGACUCUUCAAGACAGAGCCUGAGAGGCCUUGGAAAUCCUCUGGAGGGACUGGCUGAAGAGGGAUCCCUACACCAAUCAUCUGCUCAGCCUUGUAAAAGUAAGAAGACACAGUGCUGAAGAGCCCUUGGUUGCAAACAUUUCUCAUGUUUAAUGGAGGGAUGCCCAAAAAAAACCCUGGAAAGAGCCUGGCAAGGAGAAAUUGCUGUUUUACAUGUAUACUCUGCCAUUAUAUAGUUUCAAAGAAAUUAUGGAAGCAUUUUAGACUGCAUGAUUAAAAAAAACCUUUUUGCACUCAAGUAUCCUCAAUGAGUUUCAUGUGUCAAUGGUUGUUGGGUAUUGAA
This is a long non-coding RNA of Hemicordylus capensis (graceful crag lizard), 823 nucleotides long. RefSeq lists it as uncharacterized. The record is from RefSeq and is a predicted model, not a curated record. NCBI's taxonomy places the organism in Eukaryota, Metazoa, Chordata, Lepidosauria, Squamata, Cordylidae. The transcript is spliced from 3 exons.